This 17-nucleotide ribosomal RNA is filed under the name Isodon lophanthoides. RNAcentral's name for it is "partial 26S ribosomal RNA". The record is from RNAcentral. Lineage: Eukaryota; Viridiplantae; Streptophyta; Magnoliopsida; Lamiales; Lamiaceae.
GCGACCCAGGUCAGGCG